AAUCAACGCUGGCGGCGUGCCUAACACAUGCAAGUCGAACGCGAGAGGGGCUUCGGCCCCGAUUGAGUGGCGAACGGGUGAGUAACGCGUGGGUGACCUACCUUCGAGUGGGGGAUAACGUCCCGAAAGGGACGCUAAUACCGCAUAACAUCCUGCUUUUGAAUGGGUGGAGAUCAAAGCCGGGGAUCGCAAGACCUGGCGCUUGAUGAGGGGCCCGCGUCUGAUUAGCUAGNGGUGAGGUAACGGCCCACCAAGGCAACGAUCAGUAUCCGGCCUGAGAGGGCGGACGGACACACUGGGACUGAGACACGGCCCAGACUCCUACGGGAGGCAGCAGUGGGGAAUUGUUCGCAAUGGGCGCAAGCCUGACGACGCAACGCCGCGUGGAGGAUGAAGGU
Molecule: ribosomal RNA, 398 nt
Filed under: uncultured bacterium
Lineage: Bacteria
Description: bacterial SSU rRNA
Rfam family: Bacterial small subunit ribosomal RNA
Source: RNAcentral